GGCGCUGUAGCUGAGCGGCAAAGCGCUUGGCUUCCGAUCCGGCGGCCCCGGGUUCGAAUCCUGGUGAAGACU
Molecule: non-coding RNA, 72 nt
Organism: Biomphalaria glabrata
Lineage: Eukaryota; Metazoa; Mollusca; Gastropoda; Planorbidae
Source: Rfam